RNAcentral lists this ribosomal RNA (1013 nucleotides) under metagenome. RNAcentral's name for it is "bacterial LSU rRNA". It matches the Rfam family "Bacterial large subunit ribosomal RNA", at positions 1096 to 2117 of the family's 2925-position model. The record is from RNAcentral.
GGAUGUUGGCUUAGAAGCAGCCAUCAUUUAAAGAGUGCGUAAUAGCUCACUAGUCGAGUGGCGCUGCGCCGAAAAUUUACCGGGGCUAAGCAUAGUACCGAAACUGUGGAUGCAUCGAAAGAUGCGUGGUAGGAGAGCGUUCUAAGUGCGGCGAAGGUUAACCGAGAGGAUAAUUGGAGCGCUUAGAAGUGAGAAUGCCGGUAUGAGUAGCGAAAGACAGGUGAGAAUCCUGUCCGCCGAAAGACUAAGGUUUCCUGGGGCAGGCUCGUCCGCCCAGGGUAAGUCGGGACCUAAGGCAAGGCCGAGAGGCGUAGUCGAUGGAUAACAGGUAGAAAUUCCUGUACUGUGUUUAAUCGUUAUGAGCGAUGGAGGGACGCAGGAGGUGAAACACGCAUCGAGCUGGAUCGAUGUUCAAGCAACAAGUGCGGUUAAGAGUCAAAUGCUUCUAACCAGCAACACGAGUUGUGAUGAGUAGCGAAGUAAUAGUAGCGAAGGUGAUGUAAUCACACUGCCAAGAAAAGCUUCUAGCCAGAGAGGACACACCCGUACCGCAAACCGACACAGGUAGUCGAGUGGAGAACACUAAGGUGAGCGAGAGAACUCUCGUUAAGGAACUCGGCAAAAUGACCCCGUAACUUCGGAAGAAGGGGUGCUGGCCACGAGAGUGGUUAGCCGCAGUGAAUAGGCCCAAACAACUGUUUAUCAAAAACACAGGUCUCUGCAAAAUCGUAAGAUGACGUAUAGAGGCUGACACCUGCCCGGUGCUGGAAGGUUAAGAGGAGAGCUUAGCGAAAGCGAAGGUUCGAAUUGAAGCCCCAGUAAACGGCGGCCGUAACUAUAACGGUCCUAAGGUAGCGAAAUUCCUUGUCGGGUAAGUUCCGACCUGCACGAAUGGCGUAAUGAUUUGGGCACUGUCUCAACGAGAGACUCGGUGAAAUUAUAAUACCCGUGAAGAUGCGGGUUACCCGCGACAGGACGGAAAGACCCCAUGGAGCUUCACUGUAGCUUGAUAU